AACGCGAAGAACCUUACCACCCCUUGACAUCUCCAGGACCGGUCGCAGAGACGGGUCCUUCUCUUAGGGGGUUGGAACACAGGUGCUGCAUGGCUGUCGUCAGCUCGUGUCGUGAGAUGUUGGGUUAAGUCCCGCAACGAGCGCAACCCUCGUCUUUACUUCCCAUCAUUCAGUUGGGCACUUUAAGGGGACUGCCGGUGAUAAGCCGCGAGGAAGGUGGGGAUGACGUCAAGUCCUCAUGGCCCUUACGGCAGGGGCUACACACGUGUUCAAAUGGCGGUGACAAUGGGCAGCAAACCCGCAGGGGGGACCUAUUCUCAAAAAGCCCUCUCAGUUCGGAUAGCACUCUGCAACUCGAGUGCAUGAAGUUGGAAUCGCUAGUAAUCGCGGAUCACCAUGCCCCGGUGAAUACUUUCCCGGGUCUUGUACACACCG
This 435-nucleotide ribosomal RNA is filed under the name uncultured bacterium. RNAcentral describes it as "bacterial SSU rRNA". It matches the Rfam family "Bacterial small subunit ribosomal RNA", at positions 958 to 1392 of the family's 1533-position model. The record is from RNAcentral.